RNAcentral lists this long non-coding RNA (716 nucleotides) under Capsicum annuum. RNAcentral describes it as "long non-coding RNA (CANN_LNC017144)". Lineage: Eukaryota; Viridiplantae; Streptophyta; Magnoliopsida; Solanales; Solanaceae. The record is from RNAcentral.
GCCACUCAACACGGUGAACGUGCAUCUACCAAGGAAUUACUGGAAUUAUACAUAUGGUCGAUCCUAUCCAAAAAGCUUCUUGAAGGUGGAUCGAUUUUCUAAUAAGAAACAGAGAUGUUCAUUUUGGUAAUUAUGAGUUUAAUGAUCUCAAAAAGAAAGUCUUUACAUAACUACAACCAACUCCAUCUUCUCACUUUCCUCGGCCCAAUUUUUCCAACCAGCAUUAAUUCAUAGGCCCGGUGAACGUGCAUCUACCAAGGAAUUAUUGGAAUUAUACAUAUGGUCGACCCUAUCAAGAAAGCUUCAUGAAGUGGAUCAAUUUUCUAAUGAGAAACGCAGGUGUUCAUUUUGAUAAUUAUGAAAUGAAUGAUCUCAAAAAGAAAUAGCCUUUACAUAACUACAAUCAACUCCAUCUUCUCUCUUUCCUCGGCCCAAUUUUCCAGCCAGCAUGAAUUCUUAGGCCACUCAACACGGUGAACAUGCAUCUACCAAGGAAUUACUAGAAUUAUACAUAUGGUCGAUCCUAUCAAGAAAGCUUCAUGAAGGUGGAUCGAUUUUCUAAUGAGAAACGGAGGUGUUCAUUUUGGUUAUUAUGAAACUAAUGAUCACCCCAUCGUCACGCAAACUUGUAUCCAUCUAGGAAAGAAAUGAAGGUCCAGUCUUUAGUUGAAUUCAGUUGGCAGAAAAGCUUUUGUUUUUUAAUCUCUAAAGUUAGG